AGUGAACGCUGGCGGUAGGCCUAACACAUGCAAGUCGAACGGCAGCACAGUAAGAGCUUGCUCUUACGGGUGGCGAGUGGCGGACGGGUGAGGAAUACAUCGGAAUCUACUUUUUCGUGGGGGAUAACGUAGGGAAACUUACGCUAAUACCGCAUACGACCUACGGGUGAAAGCAGGGGAUCUUCGGACCUUGCGCGAUUGAAUGAGCCGAUGUCGGAUUAGCUAGUUGGCGGGGUAAAGGCCCACCAAGGCGACGAUCCGUAGCUGGACUGAGAGGAUGAUCAGCCACACUGGAACUGAGACACGGUCCAGACUCCUACGGGAGGCAGCAGUGGGGAAUAUUGGACAAUGGGCGCAAGCCUGAUCCAGCCAUACCGCGUGGGUGAAGAAGGCCUUCGGGUUGCAAAGCCCUUUUGUUGGGAAAGAAAAGCAGCAGGUUAAUACCCCGCUGUUCUGACGGUACCCAAAGAAUAAGCACCGGCUAACUUCGUG
Molecule: ribosomal RNA, 492 nt
Filed under: uncultured bacterium
Lineage: Bacteria
Description: partial 16S ribosomal RNA
Rfam family: Bacterial small subunit ribosomal RNA
Source: RNAcentral